RNAcentral lists this ribosomal RNA (608 nucleotides) under uncultured bacterium. Its description in RNAcentral is "bacterial SSU rRNA". It matches the Rfam family "Bacterial small subunit ribosomal RNA", at positions 1 to 654 of the family's 1533-position model. The record is from RNAcentral.
GCCCUUGAGUUUGAUCCUGGCUCAGAAUGAACGCUGGCGGCAUGCCUAACACAUGCAAGUCGAACGAAGGCUUCGGCCUUAGUGGCGCACGGGUGCGUAACGCGUGGGAAUCUGCCCUCAGGUUCGGAAUAACAGCGAGAAAUUGCUGCUAAUACCGGAUGAUAUCGCGAGAUCAAAGAUUUAUCGCCUGAGGAUGAGCCCGCGUAGGAUUAGCUAGUUGGUGUGGUAAAGGCGCACCAAGGCGACGAUCCUUAGCUGGUCUGAGAGGAUGAUCAGCCACACUGGGACUGAGACACGGCCCAGACUCCUACGGGAGGCAGCAGUGGGGAAUAUUGGACAAUGGGCGAAAGCCUGAUCCAGCAAUGCCGCGUGAGUGAUGAAGGCCUUAGGGUUGUAAAGCUCUUUUACCCGGGACGAUAAUGACAGUACCGGGAGAAUAAGCUCCGGCUAACUCCGUGCCAGCAGCCGCGGUAAUACGGAGGGAGCUAGCGUUAUUCGGAAUUACUGGGCGUAAAGCGCACGUAGGCGGCUUUGUAAGUUAGAGGUGAAAGCCUGGGAGCUCAACUCCAGAAUUGCCUUUUAAGGACUGCAUCGUUGAAUCCAGGGAG